RNAcentral lists this ribosomal RNA (444 nucleotides) under uncultured bacterium. RNAcentral describes it as "bacterial SSU rRNA". It matches the Rfam family "Bacterial small subunit ribosomal RNA", at positions 17 to 507 of the family's 1533-position model. The record is from RNAcentral.
CCUUGGCUCAGGAUGAACGCUGGCGGCGUGCUUAACACAUGCAAGUCGAACGAACCUUCGGGUUAGUGGCGGACGGGUGAGUAACGCGUGAGAAUCUGCCCUCAGGAGGGGGACAACAGCUGGAAACGGCUGCUAAUACCCCAUAUGCCGCGAGGUGAAAUGAAUUUCGCCUGAGGAUGAGCUCGCGUCUGAUUAGCUAGUUGGUGUAGGUAAUGGCUCACCAAGGCAUCGAUCAGUAGCUGGUCUGAGAGGAUGAUCAGCCACACUGGGACUGAGACACGGCCCAGACUCCUACGGGAGGCAGCAGUGGGGAAUUUUCCGCAAUGGGCGAAAGCCUGACGGAGCAACGCCGCGUGAGGGAUGAAGGCCUCUGGGCUGUAAACCUCUUUUAUCAAGGAAGAAGAUCUGACGGUACUUGAUGAAUAAGCCACGGCUAAUUCCGUG